GAUGAACGCUGGCGGCGUGCCUAACACAUGCAAGUCGAGCGAUUCUCUUCGGAGAAGAGCGGCGGACGGGUGAGUAACGCGUGGGUAACCUGCCCUGUACACACGGAUAACAUACCGAAAGGUAUGCUAAUACGAGAUAAUAUACUUUUAUCGCAUGGUAGAAGUAUCAAAGCUUUUGCGGUACAGGAUGGACCCGCGUCUGAUUAGCUAGUUGGUAAGGUAACGGCUUACCAAGGCGACGAUCAGUAGCCGACCUGAGAGGGUGAUCGGCCACAUUGGAACUGAGACACGGUCCAAACUCCUACGGGAGGCAGCAGUGGGGAAUAUUGCACAAUGGGCGAAAGCCUGAUGCAGCAACGCCGCGUGAGCGAUGAAGGCCUUCGGGUCGUAAAGCUCUGUCCUCAAGGAAGAUAAUGACGGUACUUGAGGAGGAAGCCCCGGCUAACUACGUGCCAGCAGCCGCGGUAAU
Molecule: ribosomal RNA, 469 nt
Filed under: uncultured bacterium
Lineage: Bacteria
Description: bacterial SSU rRNA
Rfam family: Bacterial small subunit ribosomal RNA
Source: RNAcentral